Sander lucioperca (pikeperch) is the source of this 128-nucleotide long non-coding RNA. RefSeq lists it as uncharacterized. The transcript has 3 exons. NCBI's taxonomy places the organism in Eukaryota, Metazoa, Chordata, Actinopteri, Perciformes, Percidae. The record is from RefSeq and is a predicted model, not a curated record.
CGCUGUGCCAGGAUUAAAUCAUGAUUUAUGGUUGUGUGGAGACUCCACGCCGAGCUUUCGCCGUAGCCUACAUUAGUGGCCUGACGUUUAUACUUGUGUCCAUCCGUAUGUGUGUGUGUGUGUGUGUG